Molecule: long non-coding RNA, 3965 nt
Organism: Patella vulgata (common limpet)
Lineage: Eukaryota; Metazoa; Mollusca; Gastropoda; Patellidae
Exons: 6
Source: RefSeq, a predicted model, not a curated record
ACCUCCCUUGUAAUCAUGGCCGCCUCCAUCAAACGAGAAAGAACUGGCUAUGAAGAAGGUUUUCUUGCUGGAUGUGAAUCUGGUAAGUCAGAAGGUUGUAUGUUAGGAAUCGAGAAGGGUGGAAACAUAGGUUCGGAGCUUGGCUUUUAUCAUGGCUAUGCAUUAGAGCUCAGACGAAUCUUAGAAAAAGAAGUAGGAUUGAGCAAACCCAGGACGAAGAAAACGAUGGAUUCUUUAAAUACAAUGAUCGAAAAUUUUGCAUUGGAAGAUGCUUUAAACCAGACAUUAUUUGAAGAGCUGGAAACCAUCAGGGCCAAAUUUAAACAGCUAACUACUCAACUAAAUGUAUCAGUACAAUAUGGAUCUGCUGAUACGGUUAAAGGGGCGUCAUUUUGAAACAACCUUUGAUGUGAUCAUUACUUGCCUAAGAAUACAAUGUCUCUACAGCUACACUGUGCAUAAACCGUACGCUGUACAUAAUGAUUAUUCCAGCAUUAUUUCAGUCCUUUUUAUUCUGUUUAUUCUUAUAAACGUUUUUCCAUGUCAAUAAUAUUAACGAAACCAUGGAUUAAGGAUGGUAAUCAAACCCUCUUCCGAUUUCUUUCGUGAAGGAUCAGUUCAAAAAGAAGAUAAUACUUGAUGAUAAUAGACAGCACAAAAUCCGGUAUAUAAGCUAUGCAAAAGAAUCCUUUAUUGAAGGUGACAAGCAACAUACCAUAUUCACUGGAUGAAUGUUAACAAGAUAGAUUUUCUACAUAAAAAUAAUUGUUUGUGUUAAUCCUGCAGACUAUACAAAUCGAUAUUUAAUUAAUUCAGAUUUUAAUUUUAGUUGUGAUAUGUCAGUGAUGUUUGGGUUAAAAUCCUUUUUCCCAAGCCAAUUAUAUUACAAAUGUUUUUAUAGUUGUAUUUUUCAAAUUGUGUAGAUAUUUAUAUAUCCUAUUGUAACUUGUUGGAGAAGAGAGAGGGAUAUUGAUUAACGCCCACUUAUGAUCUAAAGCAGACGCCUAAAGCUCUGUAUAAACUGCCAACAUUUUCGGUAACAUUUUCGGAAACAUCUCGGCAACACACCUGUGCAACAAAAAUUUAGCCCUGUAUACACACGGCAACAAUUCGACAACAUGUUGGGCAAAUUAACAACAAUUCCCUGCUGGUAGCUGCCAUGUUGUCUACAUCAUGUGAUUUAUGGCCCAUUUCUGAUUGGAUAAAACUCGGAACAUCAUUAGCAUCUGGGCAACGAAAUUCAUCUAGUAUAUUUUUCGACAACAUUUGGGCAACAUGUUGUCGAAUGUCACCGAAUGUUUCUGAACUGUAUAGACUAUCAACUUUUCAGCAACGUCGCAUCUGGUCAACAUGUUACCGAAAAUGUUGGCAGGGUGUACAGGGUUUUAAACCAUUCGACCACCCAACAGGAGGUAUUAAGAAAAUUGUAUUAAUUCUAUAUCCCAUAUUUUACAUUUUUGUACAUAAGUGUAAAUAAUUAAUUUCAUGGGCAUUAUUUUGUGCCAAUAUUAACAUUAAGAUGUUUUGUUUAAAAUAAAAAAUUCUGUAAUUUGUUGUUAAAUUUGAUAUCAUCUUCUGUUAUCGUCUUCAUUUAUGUUCGAAACCCAUGCACGGACAUCAUUUAUCUUUAUGGGCAAAUCAUAGCACUAUGAUUCGUAUGCUUAAUGACGCGUCAAUACAGUACUCUAUCAAUAUAUUAUUGUCCUCGUAAAUCUAUUUGUCAAUUCUGUAUAAACUUGCAAUAUCUCUAUUCUUUAUAUACCUGUUUUUACGAUUCUCGUAAUACUACAUUUUCUCAAACAGUUUUGGGGUUAUGGUGACUUUAUGUAAGACUAAAAAAUUGUUGGUAGAAAAUAAUGAAGCAUCUUGCAAUCAAAUUAUUCUUAAAUCUCGGGUCUUCAAAAUGCGCCAGUUUAAUUAAUAAUAUUAAGUUGUGAUGUAUAUCUGUAGUUUUCUAAGAACCUUACUUACAUUGGUGGUUAUCAGGAUUUCAUAGCGUCGAUCUUAAAUUGAACUACCGAUUAAACGAACGUGUCACGAAUUAGUCAAUAUUGUCGGCACGUGGGGUCGUCUGUUGCCAACAUGGGGCUAUGAAAUACAAUCAGCCACAAUACUCACGCCAGCUAGGCUGUAAAACAAUGUGUGACACCAUGGUAAACAUAGAUAUGACACCAUGGUAAACAUAGAUAUGACAGGUGCUUGAAAUAGGUAUGAAUAAUAGCACAGUGUUGGGCUAUAUCAUUGUUUAAUCACGUGUGUAAAAACGCUGGAUACCUUAGUUAAAUAAUCAACUAUGAAUUUCGUGUUGGAUUUAAAGUCCUUGUAUUAAUUUGGACAAUCCUCCACCUUCAGUAGUGAAGAUUCUGUAAAUCGUGUGGUUUCUCGGUUCAAAUAUGGAAUUGCCAGAAUUACAAUGGAGUGAUACUACAUCAGCACCGGCUACAAACAGAGUGUUCCGAUUUAGUGAUGCGAUCAACGAUGAUCGAGAGUUUUUUAAGGAGAAAACAUUUCAUACGUUACAGGAAGCUGACGAUAGCCGACAUGAGAAAUAUUCAUCGAGGAUGGCAACAACGUUCGUACCAAAGAUCCGCUUGACGCUCAAUGACUUUGGAUUAGAGUUUAAAGGAAGAUUCAACGAAUCCCUCAAUACCUAUGUGGAUACGCGGAAAAGAAUAAGACGUUUCCAUAGCUUGAAUAAUUUGAACAAAACAUUUUAUUGUGAAUUACCUACUCUGGACGAAGGUGGUUCUGAGAAAUGUCAGGAACCAAGGACACCAUUAUUACUUACGGGAAGGUCUGCUCUGAAAACCAGAGACUCUAAUCAUGAGGUGGAAUUGCCAAAUAUUGAUAGGCAAUUCUUACAAUCCUCUAAAUCUUCACUUUCAUAUCCUUUCAGACUCCACAAGUCGCUAGAUACAAGACCAAAACUAUUUGAGAAAAUGCCUCAAAGGUUUUCAAUAAAGCCAAUGAAUAUAUGGAAACACAAAACUGACAUUUUGCUGCAGAACAGUCCAAAGGGCCAUGGCUUCACACCUAGAAAGUUAAAAUUAAAAUCGUGAUUACCCUUUUAGUCAUAAUUACAAUUGCGUGUCAUUGACUUUUAGUGAUAAUAGACUAGUUUUGUUGCAAAUAGCUGCUUCAACCAAAUGUUAUUAUUUAAAGUGAGAGUACCAGAAUGAAGACAACCCUGUGGUUGGCACAGCUUGCAUAGAAUCAUGAGACAAUCAUUAGAAUUUGUACUGUGUUGCUUUUACCAACGUGGUUCUAAGAAAAUGUGCAACUUUAUACUGUUAAUGCCUGGUACCGAUAUACCAAAAGCAACAACAUUGUGCGAAUAUACUAUGCCAUCAUACAUAUAACACUGUGCCGCGGUUUGAUGCACGAAAUCUUUUUAUGGCUGCGAUAACAACAUUCAAAUAAGCUUGUAUAAUGUUAGCUGAUUUUGAAAAUAUUAAAAUGUGUCCAUAUUGUUUCCAACUUUCCCUGAAACCUUAACAUCAGAGGUAGUCUAUUAAACAAAUAACCCAUUCUUGUGCUUGCUAUAUAUAUAAAAAUAUAUGUAGGCCGGUGAGGCGGAGGCAUAUUCAUAUUACAAGUAUAUUAUAUGGUCUGCUCUUACAUUGAAUAUAAUAAGACACACCAUAGUCAAAACCUUCAGAAUCGUGUCUGUAUUUACACUUUUCACCAGAUUAUAGAUCGAUAAAAACAAUUCUCUAGAACUAAACAGAUAAGAUCAGUGGACCUUUCUACAACAAAACACGCAAUAAAAUAUUUACUGUUGUACCAGAUCUCAUUACGGUCAGUAUUAAAUAUGUACCACAUGGUGUAACACAACACAAGUUUAUCUAAUACAGUUAUACCCGUAUCAAACUUGUUUAUUUAUUGCAUGUUUAAAUAUUGAUAUAAUAUUUUUUAAUGUGUAUGUUAAAGAAAAUUGGAUAUAAAGCUAACUCCAUAACUGACAA